GGCUCAGGAUGAACGCUAGCUACAGGCUUAACACAUGCAAGUCGAGGGGCAGCAUGAAGUCAGCUUGCUGACUUUGAUGGCGACCGGCGCACGGGUGAGUAACGCGUAUCCAACCUUCCCUUACUCAGGAAUAGCCCGUUGAAAGACGGAUUAAUACCUGAUGGUGUUUGAAUUCCGCAUGUUAUUCAAACUAAAGAUUUAUCGGUAACGGAUGGGGAUGCGUGACAUUAGAUAGUAGGCGGGGUAACGGCCCACCUAGUCUACGAUGUCUAGGGGUUCUGAGAGGAAGGUCCCCCACACUGGAACUGAGACACGGUCCAGACUCCUACGGGAGGCAGCAGUGAGGAAUAUUGGUCAAUGGUCGGAAGACUGAACCAGCCAAGUAGCGUGAAGGAUGAAGGUUCUAUGGAUUGUAAACUUCUUUUAUACGGGAAUAAAACCUCCCACGUGUGGGAGCUUGUAUGUACCGUAUGAAUAAGCAUCGGCUAACUCCGUG
Molecule: ribosomal RNA, 496 nt
Filed under: uncultured bacterium
Lineage: Bacteria
Description: bacterial SSU rRNA
Rfam family: Bacterial small subunit ribosomal RNA
Source: RNAcentral